Molecule: ribosomal RNA, 497 nt
Filed under: uncultured bacterium
Lineage: Bacteria
Description: partial 16S ribosomal RNA
Rfam family: Bacterial small subunit ribosomal RNA
Source: RNAcentral
GAUGAACGCUGGCGGCGUGCCUAAUACAUGCAAGUCGAGCGAACAGACGAGGAGCUUGCUCCUCUGACGUUAGCGGCGGACGGGUGAGUAACACGUGGAUAACCUACCUAUAAGACUGGGAUAACUUCGGGAAACCGGAGCUAAUACCGGAUAAUAUAUUGAACCGCAUGGUUCAAUAGUGAAAGACGGUUUUGCUGUCACUUAUAGAUGGAUCCGCGCCGCAUUAGCUAGUUGGUAAGGUAACGGCUUACCAAGGCAACGAUGCGUAGCCGACCGGAGAGGGUGAUAGGCCACACUGGAACUGGGACACGGUCCAGACUCCUACGGGAGGCAGCAGUAGGGAAUCUUCCGCAAUGGGCGAAAGCCUGACGGAGCAACGCCGCGUGAGUGAUGAAGGUCUUCGGAUCGUAAAACUCUGUUAUUAGGGAAGAACAAAUGUGUAAGUAACUAUGCACGUCUUGACGGUACCUAAUCAGAAAGCCACGGCUAACUACGUG